GGGUUGUGAGGUUAAGCGACUAAGCGUACACGGUGGAUGCCCUGGCAGUCAGAGGCGAUGAAGGACGUGCUAAUCUGCGAUAAGCGUCGGUGAGGUGAUAUGAACCGUUAUAACCGGCGAUUUCCGAAUGGGGAAACCCAGUGUGUUUCGACACACUAUCAUUAACUGAAUCCAUAGGUUAAUGAGGCGAACCGGGGGAACUGAAACAUCUAAGUACCCCGAGGAAAAGAAAUCAACCGAGAUUCCCCCAGUAGCGGCGAGCGAACGGGGAGGAGCCCAGAGCCUGAAUCAGUGUGUGUGUUAGUGGAAGCGUCUGGAAAGGCGCGCGAUACAGGGUGACAGCCCCGUACACAAAAAUGCACAUGCUGUGAGCUCGAUGAGUAGGGCGGGACACGUGGUAUCCUGUCUGAAUAUGGGGGGACCAUCCUCCAAGGCUAAAUACUCCUGACUGACCGAUAGUGAACCAGUACCGUGAGGGAAAGGCGAAAAGAACCCCGGCGAGGGGAGUGAAAAAGAACCUGAAACCGUGUACGUACAAGCAGUGGGAGCCUCUUUAUGGGGUGACUGCGUACCUUUUGUAUAAUGGGUCAGCGACUUAUAUUCUGUAGCAAGGUUAACCGAAUAGGGGAGCCGAAGGGAAACCGAGUUUUAACUGGGCGUUAAGUUGCAGGGUAUAGACCCGAAACCCGGUGAUCUAGCCAUGGGCAGGUUGAAGGUUGGGUAACACUAACUGGAGGACCGAACCGACUAAUGUUGAAAAAUUAGCGGAUGACUUGUGGCUGGGGGUGAAAGGCCAAUCAAACCGGGAGAUAGCUGGUUCUCCCCGAAAGCUAUUUAGGUAGCGCCUCGUGAAUUCAUCUCCGGGGGUAGAGCACUGUUUCGGCAAGGGGGUCAUCCCGACUUACCAACCCGAUGCAAACUGCGAAUACCGGAGAAUGUUAUCACGGGAGACACACGGCGGGUGCUAACGUCCGUCGUGAAGAGGGAAACAACCCAGACCGCCAGCUAAGGUCCCAAAGUCAUGGUUAAGUGGGAAACGAUGUGGGAAGGCCCAGACAGCCAGGAUGUUGGCUUAGAAGCAGCCAUCAUUUAAAGAAAGCGUAAUAGCUCACUGGUCGAGUCGGCCUGCGCGGAAGAUGUAACGGGGCUAAACCAUGCACCGAAGCUGCGGCAGCGACACUAUGUGUUGUUGGGUAGGGGAGCGUUCUGUAAGCCUGUGAAGGUGGCCUGUGAGGGUUGCUGGAGGUAUCAGAAGUGCGAAUGCUGACAUAAGUAACGAUAAAGCGGGUGAAAAGCCCGCUCGCCGGAAGACCAAGGGUUCCUGUCCAACGUUAAUCGGGGCAGGGUGAGUCGACCCCUAAGGCGAGGCCGAAAGGCGUAGUCGAUGGGAAACAGGUUAAUAUUCCUGUACUUGGUGUUACUGCGAAGGGGGGACGGAGAAGGCUAUGUUGGCCGGGCGACGGUUGUCCCGGUUUAAGCGUGUAGGCUGGUUUUCCAGGCAAAUCCGGAAAACCAAGGCUGAGGCGUGAUGACGAGGCACUACGGUGCUGAAGC
Molecule: ribosomal RNA, 1554 nt
Filed under: Escherichia coli
Lineage: Bacteria; Pseudomonadati; Pseudomonadota; Gammaproteobacteria; Enterobacterales; Enterobacteriaceae
Description: partial 23S ribosomal RNA
Rfam family: Bacterial large subunit ribosomal RNA
Source: RNAcentral